This 230-nucleotide ribosomal RNA is filed under the name bacterium. RNAcentral describes it as "partial 23S ribosomal RNA". It matches the Rfam family "Bacterial large subunit ribosomal RNA", at positions 1 to 239 of the family's 2925-position model. The record is from RNAcentral.
AAUUUGGACAAGCUACUAAGGGCGUAUGGUGGAUGCCUCGGCAGUAGCAGGCGAUGAAGGGCGUGGCUGGCUGCGAUAAGCCUCGGGGAGCCGUCAAGCAGGCGUAGAUCCGGGGAUGCCCGAAUGGGGAAACCCGGCGGGGGUAAUGCCCCGUCACCCCGAAAGGGGAGCCAACCCGGGGAAGUGAAACAUCUCAGUACCCGGAGGAAAAGAAAUCAACCGAGAUUCCC